Molecule: ribosomal RNA, 491 nt
Filed under: uncultured bacterium
Lineage: Bacteria
Description: partial 16S ribosomal RNA
Rfam family: Bacterial small subunit ribosomal RNA
Source: RNAcentral
AGUGAACGCUGGCGGUAGGCCUAACACAUGCAAGUCGAACGGCAGCACAGUAAGAGCUUGCUCUUACGGGUGGCGAGUGGCGGACGGGUGAGGAAUACAUCGGAAUCUACUUUUUCGUGGGGGAUAACGUAGGGAAACUUACGCUAAUACCGCAUACGACCUACGGGUGAAAGCAGGGGAUCUUCGGACCUUGCGCGAUUGAAUGAGCCGAUGUCGGAUUAGCUAGUUGGCGGGGUAAAGGCCCACCAAGGCGACGAUCCGUAGCUGGUCUGAGAGGAUGAUCAGCCACACUGGAACUGAGACACGGUCCAGACUCCUACGGGAGGCAGCAGUGGGGAAUAUUGGACAAUGGGCGCAAGCCUGAUCCAGCCAUACCGCGUGGGUGAAGAAGGCCUUCGGGUCGUAAAGCCCUUUUGUUGGGAAAGAAAAGCAGCAGGUUAAUACCCCGCUGUUCUGACGGUACCCAAAGAAUAAGCACCGGCUAACUCCGU